Molecule: RNA transcript, 8674 nt
Organism: Raphanus sativus (radish)
Lineage: Eukaryota; Viridiplantae; Streptophyta; Magnoliopsida; Brassicales; Brassicaceae
Gene name: protein FIZZY-RELATED 3-like
Exons: 7
Source: RefSeq, a predicted model, not a curated record
AUCGUGAAAUUCUUUGGCUCUAUAUCACAAUAAGCAAUAAGCAAAUGCCUCUAGCGAGGUAAUCUUAAUUACCUCUUUGAAAUGUCCCUGAUGCCAGAACAAAGAUGAGGUUGUCCCACAAGUUUAUAAAACUCGUUUCAUAGUUUCAGAGCUACAAUGAAAAUUCUAUGAAACAAGGUAAUUUUAAUUACCUUUCUGAAAUGUCCCUGAAGAUAAAACACAGAGCUUGCUCUGGUGGGGAAUGUCUGUGAUCCAUAACACAAAUGAGCUUGUCUCUGAAAUGUCCAUGAUGGCAAAACACAAGCGAGCUUGUCAUGUGGUAGAGUCAUGUUGCCAAAUGACUUGUAACGAGGUAGGUAAACUCAGUUACCUCUCUAAAAUGUCCCUGAUCCCAGAACCCAAAUGAGGUUGUCCCGCCUCUUUAUAGAACUCGUUUCCUAGUCUCAGAGAUAUAAUCAAAUGCUCUGAAACAAGGUAAUCUUAAUUACCUUUCUGAAGUGUCCCUUAAGAUGACAGAACACAAGUGAGCAUCUGUCGCUUGCUUCUUUGAAAAAACAGGUUUCCUAGUUGCCGACAAAUGCCUCGAGAUAAUCAAAUGCUCUGAAACAAGGAGCUCGUCCCGGUCACAGUAGAACUGGGAGUGUUCCUGCUACCAUAACCCAAAUGUGUUGUCCCUGGUAAUGUUGGUUUCCUAGUCAACCGAAGCUAUGAACAAAUGCUUCAUAACAGAAAACAAGUGAGCUUGUCAUGCGGUGGAGUCGAGAAUGUCUCUGCCUAACUCGGUUUCCGACAAAUGCCUCGAGAUAAUCAAAUGCUCUGAAACAAGGAGCUCGUCCAACGAUGUCCUCGAGAUAAACACAAAUGUGUUGUCCCUGGUAAUGUUGGUUUCCUAGUCAACCGAAGCUAUAAACAAAUGCUUUAUAACAGAAAACAAGUGAGCUUGUCAUGCGGUAGAGUCGAGAAUGUCUCUGCCUAACUCGGUUUCCUAGUCACUCGAGCUCUUAAGGAAUGUCUCGAAAUCAGGUAAUCUUAAUUACCUAUAUGUCCAUGAUGACAGAGAACUCAAGUGAGCUUAUCAGGUAAUCUUAAUUACCUCUCUGAAACGUCCAUAUGUCACCUAACGUUAGAUUGCAAAUGAGGUUGUCCCUUUGGGCUACUUUGGAUCCUGGUUACCUGAGUUAAACACUUGGAGUUGCCUGAAUGUCCCUGAUGAUAUAACACGAACGAGGUUGUCCCUGAAUAAGUUUGGCUUUUCUAGUCAACCGAGCUAUAAGCAAACAAGGUAAUCUUAAUUACCUUUCUAAAAUGUCCCUUCAUGAUUGACCAAAGAGCUUGUCAUGUGGUUAACUGGUCACAAAGAUAAACAAUGCCUCGUACUACAGGUAAUCUUAAUUACCUUUCUAAAAUGUCCCUUCAUGAUUGACCAAAGAGCUUGUCAUGUGGUUAACUGGUCACAAAGAUAAACAAUGCCUCGUACUACAGGUAAUUUUAAUUACCUUUCUGAAAUGUCCCUGAUGACAGAACACAUGUUGGCUUGUCCUCGGGUAGAGUCGAGAAUGUCCAUGCAUAACUCGAUUUUCCUAGUCACUCGAGCUUUAAACAAAUGCCUCGUAACAAGGUAAUCUUAAUUACCUCUCUGAAACAUCCCUACUAGUUACCUGAGUUAAACACUUGGAGUUGCUUGAGAUACUAGUCACUCAAGUAAAAUUUAAAGCCAAACGAAAGUCCCAUGAUGCUAAAAUGCAAAUGAGGCUGUCACACCUCAUUAAUUACUCUAUCCUCCGAAGUUGCUUGAGAUCCUAGUCACUCAAGCUAAAUGAAAGCCAAGAGAUUAAAGGAUACAUUCGGGUUGCUGGUCACUUAAGUUAAACACUUGGAGUUGCUUGAGAUCCUAGUCACUCAAGUGAAAUUUAAAGCCAAGCGAAAGUUCCAUGAUGCUAAAAUGCAAAUGAGGCUGUCACACCUUAUUAAUUACUCUAUCCUCUGAAGUUGCUUGAGAUCCUAGUCACUCAAGCUAAAUGAAAACCAAGAGAUUAAAGGAUACACUCGGGUUUCUGGUCACUUAAGUUAAACACUUGGAGUUGCUUGAGAUCCUAGUCACUCAAGUGAAAUUUAAAGCCAAGCGAAAGUCCCAUGAUGUUAAAAUGCAAAUGAGGCUGUCACACCUCAUUAAUUACUCUAUCCUCUGAAGUUGCUUGAGAUCCUAGUCACUCAAGCUAAAUGAAAACCAAGAGAUUAAAGGAUACACUCAGGUUUCUGGUCACUUAAGUUAAACACAAAAUGCCUCGCUCUAGGUCUAAUGAAAAUGCUCAAACUAAAAGAAAAAACAAAAGAACAGCCGAGUUUCUAGAAUGAAAAUGAGGUUGGGCUGCCUCUGUUCCUUGUCAUCAACACAAUCUUCCUAGUGUUAAGAGAUGAGGUAAGUAUUUAUCCUUCUUCUGUUUCAGUUGUACGUAUUUCUAAUUCUUUAUGUAUGUGAUAUGCUUUUUUCCUUGAUAUAGUUUAGACAUACAUUCGACUCUUAAGCUUAAUCAUUUUUUAUUUAUGCAGAAUGACCUCAUUAGUACAAAUUCAUUGUGUUUACACACUAUCGAGAAUUAGUGACCAAACAUACAGAAGAUCAGUACAAGAAUUUAAUGUUAUUUUUCCAUUUGAACAAUCUUACCAUGUCGUCUAACUCCAUCUUUCUAUCUUUUUUUUGCAUGUAGUUCUCCUCUGGGUUUCAAAGAUCACGCCAAGAGUUCAGUUCUCCUCUGGGUUUCAAAGGUCACACCAAGAGUUUCAGAGUCGUCUUCUUCAAUCCGCAUAUCCUAUCCGACGAGGAUGAACCAGACCUCAUUGCGUCUCGAGCUCGUUCCGCGGGAUCUCGACUCUCCCCUCACCCCUGCAGAUCUUCCUCGAGGCUCCACGCUUUCGAUCUGCAGGACAAGGAUCCGACGGCGACGGCGGCGAUCAAGGAGGGAGGGAACGAAGCCUUUUCCAGGGCUUUUGAAAUCUGAGCUUUUCGGAUCUGAUUUCGUUUCUUCUCCGAUGAGUCCGUGUACUCCUAACAUUCUAAGAUUCAAGACAAUGGUCUCUCUAGUGACUCCUCUCCUCCUAAGCCUCCUCGCAAGGUCUUGGAUGCACCUUCUUUGCAAGAUGACUUCUACUUGAACGUUGUGGACUGGAGCUCACAGAAUGUUCUUGCUGUGGGGCUUGGUACUUGUGUCUAUCUCUGGACUGCUUCUAAUAGCAAAGUGACGAAGCUUUGUGACUUGGGUCCUAAUGAUAGCGUGUGCUCGCUUCAGUGGACUCGGGAGGGUUCAUCAUUGAGUGUCCCUGAUGCCAUUGAGUUUGUCCCAUGGUUUAUUAUAGUUGCCAGAGCUAUAAGUAAAUGACUCAUAACGAGGUAAUCUUAAUUACCUCUCUAAAGUGUCCCUGAUGCCAUAAUGUGAAUUGAGUUUGUCCCACGGUUUCUUAGUUGCCCGAGCUAUAAGCAAAUGACUCAUAACGAGGUAAUCUUAAUUACCUCUCUAAAAUGUCCCUGAUGUCAGAACAAAGAGAAGCUUGUCCCAUGGUUCAAAGAGCUUGUCCCGUGGUUAACAACUAGUCACAAAUGCCUCGUACUGCAGGUAAUUUUAAUUACCUCUUUGAAGUGUCCCAUGGUUCAAAGAGCUUGUCCCACGGUUCUAUAAACAAAUGCCUCGUCUUAGGAUCAAGGUAGUCAUUACCUUGAAACGUCCCUGAUGUUGUAACACAAAUGAGCUUGUCCCAUGGUUCAAAGAGCUUGCCCUGUGGUUAACAACUAGUCACAAAUGCCUCGUACUGCAGGUAAUUUUAAUUACCUCUUUGAAGUGUCCCAAGAGCAGGUAACUAGUCAGACCCUGAGGAUAUCCCGCUUCUUUGAAUAACUCGGUUUCCUAGUCACCCAAGCUAUAAAAAAAUGACUCAUCAGUGAGGUAAUCUUAAUUACCUUUCAGUGUCCAUGAUGAUAGGACUGAGAGCUUGCUCCGCUGUUUCCUAGUCACAAUACAAUCAUGAAAUUCUUUGGCUCUAUAUCACAAUAGAGCUAGUCCAAUAAACAAAUGCCUCUAGCGAGGUAAUCUUAAUUACCUUUUUGAAAUGUCCCUGUUGCCAGAACAAAGAUGAGGUUGUCCCACAAGUUUAUAAAACUCGUUUCAUAGUUUCAGAGCUACAAUGAAAAUUCUGUGAAACAAGGUAAUUUUAAUUACCUUUCUGAAAUGUCCCUGAAGAUAAAACACAGAGCUUGCUCUGGUGGGGAAUGUCUGUGAUCCAUAACACAAAUGAGCUUGUCUCUGAAAUGUCCAUGAUGGCAAAACACAAGCGAGCUUGUCAUGUGGUAGAGUCAUGUUGCCAAAUGACUUGUAACGAGGUAGGUAAACUCAGUUACCUCUCUAAAAUGUCCCUGGUCCCAGAACCCAAAUGAGGUUGUCCCGCCUCUUUAUAGAACUCGUUUCCUAGUCUCAGAGAUAUAAUCAAAUGCUCUGAAACAAGGUAAUCUUAAUUACCUUUCUGAAGUGUCCCUUAAGAUGACAGAACACAAGUGAGCAUCUGUCGCUUGCUUCUUUGAAAAACCAGGUUUCCUAGUUGCCGACAAAUGCCUCGAGAUAAUCAAAUGCUCUGAAACAAGGAGCUCGUCCUGGUCACAGUAGAACUGGGAGUGUCUCUGCUACCAUAACCCAAAUGUGUUGUCCCUGGUAAUGUUGGUUUCCUAGUCAACCGAAGCUAUGAACAAAUGCUUCAUAACAGAAAACAAGUGAGCUUGUCAUGCGGUAGAGUCGAGAAUGUCUCUGCCUAACUCGGUUUCCGACAAAUGCCUCGAGAUAAUCAAAUGCUCUGAAACAAGGAGCUCGUCCAACGAUGUCCUCGAGAUAAACACAAAUGUGUUGUCCCUGGUAAUGUUGGUUUCCUAGUCAACCGAAGCUAUAAACAAAUGCUUUAUAACAGAAAACAAGUGAGCUUGUCAUGCGGUAGAGUCGAGAAUGUCUCUGCCUAACUCGGUUUCCUAGUCACUCGAGCUCUUAAGGAAUGUCUCGAAAUCAGGUAAUCUUAAUUACCUAUAUGUCCAUGAUGACAGAGAACUCAAGUGAGCUUAUCAGGUAAUCUUAAUUACCUCUCUGAAACGUCCAUAUGUCACCUAACGUUAGAUUGCAAAUGAGGUUGUCCCUUUGGGAUACUUUGGAUCCUGGUUACCUGAGUUAAACACUUGGAGUUGCCUGAAUGUCCCUGAUGAUAUAACACAAACGAGCUUGUCCCUGAAUAAGUUUGGCUUUUCUAGUCAACCGAGCUAUAAGCAAACAAGGUAAUCUUAAUUACCCUUCUAAAAUGUCCCUUCAUGAUUGACCAAAGAGCUUGUCCUGUGGUUAACUGGUCACAAAGAUAAACAAUGCCUCGUACUACAGGUAAUUUUAAUUACCUUUCUGAAAUGUCCCUGAUGACAGAACACAUGUGGGCUUGUCCUCGGGUAGAGUCGAGAAUGUCCAUGCAUAACUCGAUUUUCCUAGUCACUCGAGCUUUAAACAAAUGCCUCGUAACAAGGUAAUCUUAAUUACCUCUCUGAAACGUCCCUACUAGUUACCUGAGUUAAACACUUGGAGUUGCUUGAGAUACUAGUCACUCAAGUGAAAUUUAAAGCCAAACAAAAGUCCCAUGAUGCUAAAAUGCAAAUGAGGCUGUCACACCUCAUUAAUUACUCUAUCCUCCGAAGUUGCUUGAGAUCCUAGUCACUCAAGCUAAAUGAAAGCCAAGAGAUUAAAGGAUACAUUCGGGUUUCUGGUCACUUAAGUUAAACACUUGGAGUUGCUUGAGAUCCUAGUCACUCAAGUGAAAUUUAAAGCCAAGCGAAAGUUCCAUGAUGCUAAAAUGCAAAUGAGGCUGUCACACCUUAUUAAUUACUCUAUCCUCUGAAGUUGCUUGAGAUCCUAGUCACUCAAGCUAAAUGAAAACCAAGAGAUUAAAUGAUACACUCGGGUUUCUGGUCACUUAAGUUAAACACUUGGAGUUGCUUGAGAUCCUAGUCACUCAAGUGAAAUUUAAAGCCAAGCGAAAGUCCCAUGAUGUUAAAAUGCAAAUGAGGCUGUCACACCUCAUUAAUUACUCUAUCCUCUGAAGUUGCUUGAGAUCCUAGUCACUCAAGCUAAAUGAAAACCAAGAGAUUAAAGGAUACACUCGGGUUUCUGGUCACUUAAGUUGAACACUUUUGCUUGAGAUCCUAGUCACUCAAGUGAAAUUUAAAGCCAAGCGAAAGUCCCAUGAUGCUAAAAUGAAAAUGAGGCUGUCAAACCUCAUUAAUUACUCUAUCCUCUGAAGUUGCUUGAGAUCCUAGUCACUUAAGCUAAAUGAAAGCCGAGAGAUUAAAGGAUACACUCAGGUUUCUGGUCACUUAAGUUAAACACAAAAUGCCUCGCCCUAGGUCUAAUGAAAAUGCUCAAACUAAAUAGAAAAAACAAAAGAACAGCCAAGUUUCUAGAAUGAAAAUGAGGCUGGGCUGCCUCUGUUCCUUGUCAUCAACACAAUCUUCCUAGUGUUAAGAGAUGAGGUUGACCUCAUUAGUACAAAUUCAUUGUGUUUACACACUUUCGAGAAUUAGUGACCAAACAUACAGAAGAUCAGUACAGAAUUUAAUGUUAUUUUCCCAUUUGAACAAGCUUACCAUGUCGUCUAACUCCAUCUUUCUAUCUUUUUUUUUGCAUGUAGUUCUCCUCUGGGUUUAAAAGAUCACGCCAAGAGUUCAGGUUAUUUUCUUUCCACUUUGUUAAUAUUUUUGGUUUGUUCUCUUCUCCUCGGAGUUCUAUUUUUGGAAUCGUAAUUGGUCUUUAAUAGAUGUGCUAUGUGUCUUUUGCCUUCAGUUUCUUUAGUUCUAUAAGUAAUUACGUAUGUAUUACUAGUAUGUUAAUCAAUUUGCAGAAGCUUGAUAUCCAUGUUGCUUGAGUUAAUGUUAAGUACCUUUAAAAAAAAAGUUUGUGCAUCUCUGUUUUUCCGAAUCUUUAUUUAGGUUCUACCUUACUAUUUGUUUCUCGAUGCUGAAAUACUCUCUUAACCUUUGUAUUAUUCUUUAGCACUGAAUCACUUUGUAAUUGUCUCACUUGGUUUAUUAAGAUUUAUUUUCUCUCUUUUAAAGUGUUUUAUCAUAUUGUAAUGCUGUUUUUAAAGGUACUUUUAAAAAAAGUUUAUGCAUCUCUGUUUUUCCGAAUCUUUAUUUAGGUUCUACCUUAUUAUUUGUUUCUCUAUGCUGAUUUGAUCUCUUAAACUUUGUAUUAUUCUUUAGCACUGAAUCACUUUGUAAUUGUCUCACUUGGUUUAUUAAGAUUUAUUUGCUCUCUUUUAAAGUGUUUUUAUCAUAUUGUAAUGCUGUAUAUAAAGGUAUAAAACUUAAAACAUAAGUCAAAAUGUUUCAGCUUAAGCUUAAUAGAUUUCAUGGCUCUUGGGUGAUACUCAGAUAUUGUGUUUAAAAUGCAUAAUCAGGUAUUUUCCACAGGAUAAAUUGUUUUUUUUGUUCUGCAGAUCUUUUGACCUAUUUUCUACAGUAUGUCCAUGUUUCAUAUGCUUCUAGUUGUAUCAUUUGGUGAUUUGAUUGAUAUGUUAAUGUUUUCUUUACUUGCUAUACUACAUUUGUUUGUUUGGAGAACUGAGUUGGUGAGAGUAGGAAGUAUUGCUAUACCUGUUUAUUGUGCAUUUAGAGUUUAUUCUUAAGUCAAAAUGUUUUUUUUUCUUGCUAUACCUGUUUAUUGUGCAUGUGAUUCUUUAUGGAGUUUAUUCUUAAGUCAAUAUUCAUAUAACUCGGUAUAUUAUUCAUAUUAUUCAGACUAGCCAUGUUUGAGUUAUGAUAGACUAGAAGUAUUAUUUAUAUUAUUCAGACUAGCCAUGUUUGAGUUAUUGAUAGACUAGAAGUAUUAUUUAUAUUAUUCAGACUAGCCAUAUUAUCACAUUCAGUAAAUGUUGGGGGUUUUCGUAUAAAUUAGGAAACCAUGUAACAGUAAAAUUUGGUAUCAUAUAGUUUGUAUAUGCUCGAGUUUUCUUAUAUGGUUAGAUUAUAUUGGUGUUGGCAUUUUUGAGAAGUCAUGUCUUCUCUGACUUGUAUGAAUGAUAUCUUCCUAUUAGUUAAUGCAAAAGCUUAUGUGUAUGUGUGUGUUAGAUAGGUGAUUGUUUUGAUACCACUCAUUUGCUUAUCAUUAGUCUUUGGUAUUUGCUUCUUCGACUCUUUAAAACAUUGUCAGUAUUUUAUCCUUUUGUGGUUGUCGUUUCGUUAUGAUUUGCUUUUAUGUUCUUGGUCUGUUGGGACUUUUGAUGAAAUGUUUAUAAAAUUUUCUUUGCUUUUUUAAAAAAAAUUUAGUUAUGUUCGUGUUUAUCAUGUGCUAAUAUCGUUUAGAAAUCUGAUAUACUCCAGUUCACCAAGUUUCAUGAAGUAGUUUGGAUUAGGAAAAAAAACAAAUCAAAUGGGGGACCGAACUUUUACCAAAUCGACCUGCGACAUUGCACAAUGAUUUCGAUUUUGGGAAAUGGAGAUCCUUGAUUCGAAAUUAUGCUCUUAUCAUUUGACCAAAGCCCCCCGGCACCAUAUAUAGAUAAUUAAGUGUAUAUUUAGCUAUAUCAACUCUUAAUAAUAUUUAAGCAUGCUUUAUUUUGUUAAAUACUGAUUGUCAAUGUAUAUAAAUCUCUCUGCCUUUCGUAUUGA